GCGCGUGUGGCUCAGAGGUUAGAGCACUGUCUUCACAUGGCAGGGGUCGCUGGUUCAAAUCCAGCCACGCGCA
This 73-nucleotide transfer RNA is filed under the name bacterium. RNAcentral describes it as "tRNA-Val". It matches the Rfam family "tRNA". From Rfam's summary of the family: Transfer RNA (tRNA) molecules are approximately 80 nucleotides in length. Their secondary structure includes four short double-helical elements and three loops (D, anti-codon, and T loops). Further hydrogen bonds mediate the characteristic L-shaped molecular structure. tRNAs have two regions of fundamental functional importance: the anti-codon, which is responsible for specific mRNA codon recognition, and the 3' end, to which the tRNAs corresponding amino acid is attached (by aminoacyl-tRNA synthetases). tRNAs cope with the degeneracy of the genetic code in two manners: having more than one tRNA (with a specific anti-codon) for a particular amino acid; and 'wobble' base-pairing, i.e. permitting non-standard base-pairing at the 3rd anti-codon position. The record is from RNAcentral.